GGGACGUACCACCGCCAGUGGGAACGAACAUCAGAGAAUACCAAUGAACCAUCAUUUGCAAAUGGGACUUGCUGAAGGAGGAAGUUUGAAGUGCAAACCUCCAUCAACAUCCCAGGCACUGUGGGGUGCAAUGAGGAUAUGGCCAAGCUCCAGGCGUGCAGCUCUGAGAUAUACACACCUUACAUCGUCAGUACCCAAUGUUGAGGCAUAAAGGGCCUUCCAGAGUUGUCUUGAGUAUGUGGAAGUGGUACCUGGUAUCCUGAGGAUCUACUUGAUCCAACUUGCUGAGAAAGUUGCCACUGAGGAUUUGUUAUGGGCAUUCAAUUCGCAGUGAAAGUUACGCCAACUGAUGCCAGUGAGGAAAAGCAGAACUGCAGAAUUGCUGGAUUGGACAUGGGCUGUCAGAAGCCAAAGAUGACUGUAGUAUUUCUGCCCUGAUCAGCUAGAAGAAUGGAGUUGCCAGAUACCAAGAUAUGGAAGAAGGUACAAGGAACAGAAUUCAGCAGUGAAGCCAUCCAGACCUGGGCUUUUCUUUGUUGGUGCAUCUAUUUCCUGGAAAUGUCUCAAAUUUGUCCUUUAUUUCCAAAUAGUAUUCCAUUAUGUAUAGAUAUCACAUUUUCUUUAUCCAAUCAUCUGUUAAUGGGUAUACAGGUUGCUUCCAGAAUUUAUUUACUAUGAAUUGUGCUUCUAUAAACACUGGUAUGCACUAUAGUAU
RNAcentral lists this long non-coding RNA (715 nucleotides) under Heterocephalus glaber (naked mole-rat). Its description in RNAcentral is "lncRNA (ENSHGLG00100052045.1)". The record is from RNAcentral. Lineage: Eukaryota; Metazoa; Chordata; Mammalia; Rodentia; Bathyergidae.